This is a long non-coding RNA of Heterocephalus glaber (naked mole-rat), 1705 nucleotides long. NCBI's taxonomy places the organism in Eukaryota, Metazoa, Chordata, Mammalia, Rodentia, Bathyergidae. The record is from Ensembl.
AGAAAACAAAACUGGACCAAAGGUGCACGUCACAGCAGGAUAAAUUCCAAGCAGGUAAAAGACUCCCACGUGUUGUUUGGUUUUACUUUUUCUCAAGUUCCAAAAGAACAGAACAUGUGGAGAAUUCCUAUGCAACUGUCGCAAACCCUUCUGACUCUAAAUCCAGAAGCCACAGGAGGCGAAGACAUUUCCAGGUGAUCACGCACCUGCUCCCAUGAAGGCCCCAGGCCGUGCUGCAGAAGCCACUGCCUCACGCAGCUGAGGGAGGAGUCAGGAGUCAGCCGUGAAAUGCUUAGCAAAGCAGCUCGAUCGCCACACUUACUACCCUCAUCGUCAUCUGCUCAGACAAUGGGAUGACCCUUCAGCUGCCCAGAGAGGUGAGGCACUGGCCCCAGGGACAGGAGACAGAGGAGCUGUGGACCCAGGACACAUCCCACCAUCUAGGAGCAAGCAUGGGAGGACCGGCCCCAAGAAGCAGAAGGAAACCGGAAGUCAAGGAAAGAGUUUCUCACUGAGAAUGAGGAAACUGAGCUUAGCUCUAAGAGCACAGCAGUUCCAAGAUGACCAAGCGCUCGAGAAAGCUGGCUAAAGCAGAGGAGUCCAGGAGAUUCAGCCAGAAAAGGUUCACCCUCCAGCCUUCAUCCUGGCCCACAGAGGGUCAGCACAGUGGAACAGGACAUGCUGAGUCACAAGCACUGAGAGGUAAACAGGAAGUGAGGACACAGGCGACUGUAAACAGGACAGGACAGUCAAUCGGGCGAGGGAAGGGCACUACAGCCUGCCUGGUUCUGGAUUUGAGUUCACCAGGGCUGGGCCAGGCUGGCAGAGACUGAGUGCGCCCAGUUCUCAGGCUUGGCACACACUCCGGUCCUUCUACCUCUCAGCACCUUAAUCUCAGCUUCCUGCUGGCUCACAGCUGGGCCGCCCCUUCCACAGACACACACACACAUGCUGCCACUCCCUGCGGCCACCAGGGACCAGGUGCUAGGCCUUCUGCUAUGCUCCAGGCCAGCACAGCCAUCCCUGCCUCUACGCUGCCAUCCCAAGAAUCAACAUGCCGUCACCUAAACCAUGCCACCGCCGCCUAAAUCACAUCAUUGCCUAAAUGACACCACCUUCUAAACCACUGGAUGCUUCUUCUUCUUCCUAUUUCCGUGACCGUUCUUUACACAUAGCACAUGUGCAAUAAAUAUAAAUUAUUUUAGAACCUUGCCCAAAAAAUAGACAUCUCUAUUCCAUAUGGUUGAUGGAGUUAACUGACUAUAAUUUGUUUCAAAGAUUUGGUGGAAUCCCACUCUCGGGCCUCUGGCUCCCUCGUCUGCGGAGAGCCUACGGCAAGCAGUUCUUUCCAUGCUCCAGGCUCAGCCGCUGUCUACUAACGGACACAGUUUGGUCGCAUCUUAUACAAUUCUGACAUAGCUGAGUGAAACCUUAGCCAUGUUGCUAUUUUCCUUUCAUCUCUUUACUAUUUUGUUUCUGCAUCUCUCCUUGUUUUCUUUUGUACCCAUCAAGUACCUCUUACCUUCCUCCAUUACCAUGUGAAUUAUACAUGAUUAUUAUUUGGUGAUUCCUUGGGCAAGCACAAAGAAAAGCCCACCUGUGUGACCUAAUUUCUAGCAUCUGUCAGAGAUUAGCGCUUCACAGUUUCGAACACGAGGAGGACCGGCACCCAGCCCCGUGAGCUACUCCCAUCACACAUGCUGGC